AGGAUGAACGCUGGCGGCGUGCCUAAUACAUGCAAGUCGAGCGGUAAGGCCCUUUCGGGGUACACGAGCGGCGGACGGCUGAGUAACACGUAGGAACGUACCCAAACUGAGGGAUAAGCACCAGAAAUGAUGUCUAAUACCGCAUGUGCACAAUAGGUUUAUACCUAAAGUGUAAAGCUACGGCGGUUUGGGAACGGCCUGCGCAUGAUUAGCUUGUUGGUGAGGUAAUGGCUCACCAAGGCGAUGAUCAUUAGCUGGUCUGAGAGGAUGAUCAGCCAGACUGGGACUGAGAACGGCCCAGACUCCUACGGGAGGCAGCAGUAGGGAAUUUUCCACAAUGGGCGAAAGCCUGAUGGAGCAACGCCGCGUGCAGGAUGAAUGCCUUCGGGUUGUAAACUGCUUUAUCUGUGACGAAUAUGACGGUAGCAGAUGAAUAAGCUUCGGCUAACUCCGUGCCAGCAGCCGCGGUAAU
Molecule: ribosomal RNA, 472 nt
Filed under: uncultured bacterium
Lineage: Bacteria
Description: SSU rRNA
Rfam family: Bacterial small subunit ribosomal RNA
Source: RNAcentral